CUUUAGCCAUGGCUGGAAAGCCGGCGCGUUAGAAGCGUUUGUCCUCCGUCUCAAAGACGGAUCUGAGGUCUGCGACAACCCGUGUGAUCUGAUCCAGCCUUAGAGUGGGGAUGGCCACGUCCCAGGGCCCCACCAUCCUCUGGAGCCCAAUGGUGAUUGUGGAAGCUGCGGGUGGAGCCCUGCCCCAGGUUUCCCAGUACUCAGUGAAACCUGCCAACCAGGAAGAGGUAAGUGGAGGGUGCCCUAGAAUCACAUUCCUCACUUUCUACAUAAGUGACCUCUGGGACUAUGGUGUCCUGAGACUCUGUGCUUGGGAUUCUCUCUGUCCUUCCAUUGGGUUUCCCUGGCACAUGCUCAGAAUGAAAGGUCCCCACAUCCAUAGCAGGGAUUACAUGGCCGCCAGGUUUCCCUUCAUGGUAACCAUUGGCUGAAGAUUCAGAGGUCUUAAAGGUCCAGUGAUGACCUUACAGGAUGCCUGGAAGCGAGAUGGGUUGAGAAUGCUGAGAAAUGCUCAGGUGUGCAUGAGGUCUGCCGGCUUUAGCAGAAGGUAGGAGCUGGGUAGCACAGCAGCUGAGGGCUGAGCCUGCGUACUGAGAUGGACCUGUGUGAGACAGAUGAUUGGGAGGAGCCCAGGUGAAUUC
RNAcentral lists this long non-coding RNA (641 nucleotides) under Rattus norvegicus (Norway rat). RNAcentral's name for it is "long non-coding RNA NONRATT000316". Lineage: Eukaryota; Metazoa; Chordata; Mammalia; Rodentia; Muridae. The record is from RNAcentral.